Molecule: ribosomal RNA, 247 nt
Filed under: uncultured Eubacteriales bacterium
Lineage: Bacteria; Bacillati; Bacillota; Clostridia; Eubacteriales
Description: uncultured Clostridiales bacterium partial 16S ribosomal RNA
Rfam family: Bacterial small subunit ribosomal RNA
Source: RNAcentral
UAGGAUUAGCGGCGGACGGGUGAGUAACACGUGAGUAACCUGCCUUAGACAUUGGGAUAGCCUCGGGAAACCGGGAUUAAUACCAAAUAAAAUCAUAAUGACACAUGUCAUAACGAUCAAAACUCCGGUGGUCUAAGAUGGACUCGCGUCCCAUUAGCUAGUUGGUAGAGUAAAAGCCUACCAAGGCGACGAUGGGUAGCCGGCCUGAGAGGGUGAACGGCCACAUUGGAACUGAGAAACGGUCCAA